Molecule: ribosomal RNA, 253 nt
Filed under: uncultured bacterium
Lineage: Bacteria
Description: partial 16S ribosomal RNA
Rfam family: Bacterial small subunit ribosomal RNA
Source: RNAcentral
UACGUAGGGCGCAAGCGUUGUCCGGAAUUAUUGGGCGUAAAGAGCUCGUAGGCGGCUUGUCGCGUCGACUGUGAAAUCCCGCGGCUCAACUGCGGGUCUGCAGUCGAUACGGGCAGGCUAGAGUUCGGUAGGGGAGACUGGAAUUCCUGGUGUAGCGGUGAAAUGCGCAGAUAUCAGGAGGAACACCGAUGGCGAAGGCAGGUCUCUGGGCCGAUACUGACGCUGAGGAGCGAGAGCGUGGGGAGCGAACAGG